Molecule: long non-coding RNA, 1586 nt
Filed under: Homo sapiens (human)
Lineage: Eukaryota; Metazoa; Chordata; Mammalia; Primates; Hominidae
Description: non-protein coding SMC2-AS1:8
Source: RNAcentral
GCCUUCUCCAGUCUGCGGUGCUGGCUGUGGCUUACUUUUCUCUCCUCAAAGCGACAGUUAGGAAGUGGAGAGGCAUUCUAUGAGUGUUCUCGUCGGUUCUGUUUUGGAAGCUUCAGAAUCUUCUCGGGUUGGCUCAGAUUGCUGCAAAAUAAAAGCUGUACUUCUUGGGGCCAGAGAGGCACCGUCCUUCGGGGGACUCUGGCCCGCGUCCUGGCUCCGCCCCGUACUGGCCUCGGACCUCGGGGAGCGUUUUUAUCUGAAGUUUCCACGUCGGAAAGGGAUCGUAGUCUACCGAGAGCUGUUCCGAGCCCAGAGGAGAAAUUGUGUGGUGCUAAAUAGCUAUUCAUCUCCCUUAUACCGGAAAGCGUUGUAAUGAUAAGCCGACCUAACCUGUUGGGGAUUUUUUCUGGAAACCUUUUAAGACAGUUCAUGUUAUUGAGUUCUGAAUAUUAGGCUAUAUUGCAAGGGGCUUUUUAAAAUCCACGUAGCAACCCUAUGAAAUCAGAAAUUGCCCUCGUUUUACAAAUGAGUUAAAUGAGACCAAGUAAAAGGUUAAACAGCUUGUCUAGUAAGCUGGGAUUUGUUCCCAGGCGGUCUAGCUCCAGAUUGCAUGCUUUUAAAUACUAGGCUUCAUGCAUAGAAUCUAGUAUUAUUAGCCGAUCCUAUUAUUAGUAUGUAUUGUUCUUUAGGAAGAAAAAACGUGUCAGGAUUGCUCACGUUUCCAAGCACGUUGAUACUUAAGAGUUAGGAAGGGCUUAACUCCGAAUGGGUAUGGUGUUACCCUAAGUGAGGUUCAAAAAGAUGGUGUGGGCAACAAUGCUAUUUUGGAAUGGCUUGAUCCUUUUGGGCUUCCAUAACAAAAUAUCCUAGACUGGGUAGUUUAUGAACCACAGAAGUUUAUUCUUCACAUUUCUGAAGGCUGGAAUGUCACAGAAUAAGGUGUGUCUAGGGAGGGGUGCUUUCUCUUUAGUGGAUAGCACCUUCUGGCUCUGUCCUCGCAUGGUGGAGAGGCAGAGGCCCUCGCUUGGGCCUAUUUUAUAAGGACCUUAAUCCCAUUCCUCACUUCCCAAGAUGCCACUUGCUAAAACCGUCAGUUCGGGAGUUAGGAUUUCAAAAUGUGCAUUUUGAGGGACACAUUUAGACCAUAGCGUAGGUCAUGUUUUUAAAGUUGCUUUCUUGGCCCUGGAAUGGCAAUGCAGUCAUCUGAAUUGGUCUUAACCUACCAGGAAUGGGCUUAUAUUUUGAAAAUAUUUCUCGAUAAGGGAGUAAAAUAAGUUGUAUGGGUUUUUUGUUUAAGAAAGGAUUCCUUUGUUUACUCUGGUAUGCUUAUCCACUUCUGUGAUGUCAACCAUGGGUAGUGACCUAACAUUAAUUUAAUUCAACAGAUAUCUUUGUCUGCCUUGAUUCCUGCAUCCCCUGGGCUCCACAGCUAUUCACUUGUAUUGAUUCUGUUAACUCUUACACAUUAACUUUGAGCUGUGUCUCCUUCCUUUUAUCAUUUUGUGAGUAAAGAAUUUUAAUUUGCCAACAAAUCCUAAUGUGGACUUUGUCACGUUGUGAAAUAAAGUGAUUUUUUGGUAUGGAAA